Molecule: small RNA, 72 nt
Filed under: Sinorhizobium meliloti 2011
Lineage: Bacteria; Pseudomonadati; Pseudomonadota; Alphaproteobacteria; Hyphomicrobiales; Rhizobiaceae
Description: putative ncRNA
Source: RNAcentral
GUCGAGGGGUCAUCGGCAUCUUCCGCAUCGAUACCGCGCGGUACAGGCGAAGGAUCCUCCGACGGCCCCCAC